RNAcentral lists this ribosomal RNA (451 nucleotides) under uncultured bacterium. RNAcentral describes it as "bacterial SSU rRNA". It matches the Rfam family "Bacterial small subunit ribosomal RNA", at positions 29 to 523 of the family's 1533-position model. The record is from RNAcentral.
AGCGAACGCUGGCGGCAGGCUUAACACAUGCAAGUCGAGCGGGCGUAGCAAUACGUCAGCGGCAGACGGGUGAGUAACGCGUGGGAACAUACCUUUUGGUUCGGAACAACACAGGGAAACUUGUGCUAAUACCGGAUAAGCCCUUACGGGGAAAGAUUUAUCGCCGAAAGAUUGGCCCGCGUCUGAUUAGCUAGUUGGUGAGGUGAUGGCUCACCAAGGCGACGAUCAGUAGCUGGUCUGAGAGGAUGAUCAGCCACAUUGGGACUGAGACACGGCCCAAACUCCUACGGGAGGCAGCAGUGGGGAAUAUUGGACAAUGGGCGCAAGCCUGAUCCAGCCAUGCCGCGUGAGUGAUGAAGGCCCUAGGGUUGUAAAGCUCUUUUGUGCGGGAAGAUAAUGACGGUACCGCAAGAAUAAGCCCCGGCUAACUUCGUGCCAGCCGCCGCCGUAA